ACAGAGGGUGCAAACGUUGUUCGGAAUUACUGGGCAUAAAGCGCACGUAGGCGGCUCGGAAAGUGCGAAGUGAAAUCCCACGGCUUACCCGUGGACGUGCUUUGCAUACUGCCGAGCUCGAGGACGGUAGAGGAGAGCGGAACUCUUGGUGGAGCGGUGAAAUGCGUAGAUAUCAAGAGGAACACCAAAGGCGAAGGCAGCUCUCUGGUCCGUUUCUGACGCUGAGGUGCGAAAGCCAGGGUAGCGAACGGG
This 252-nucleotide ribosomal RNA is filed under the name uncultured bacterium. RNAcentral describes it as "partial 16S ribosomal RNA". It matches the Rfam family "Bacterial small subunit ribosomal RNA", at positions 525 to 776 of the family's 1533-position model. The record is from RNAcentral.